UGUUUUCUAACUUGAAAACAAUUUUUAGAAAAGAUGGCCAAACACCCCACUGUUGUUCUAAGCAAAUUCAAGACAAUCUACAGAAUCUUGUACCGAAGAGAACUAUGGUUUUAUUUAUUUCAACGAAGAAACACAUGUAAUAACUUCACAAGGAUCCUACAUUUUUCUGCAACCAAAUCUUCAGCCUGAACUAGAAAUAUGUCCCCCCAGAGGAAGGAG
RNAcentral lists this long non-coding RNA (219 nucleotides) under Vitis vinifera (wine grape). RNAcentral describes it as "long non-coding RNA (VVIN_LNC007798)". Lineage: Eukaryota; Viridiplantae; Streptophyta; Magnoliopsida; Vitales; Vitaceae. The record is from RNAcentral.